AAUAGAUACCCGGGUAGUCCACGCCGUAAACGAUGAGUGCUAAGUGUUAGAGGGUUUCCGCCCUUUAGUGCUGCAGCUAACGCAUUAGGCACUCCGCCUGGGGAGUACGGUCGCAAGACUGAAACUCAAAGGAAUUGACGGGGGCCCGCACAAGCGGUGGAGCAUGUGGUUUAAUUCGAAGCAACGCGAAGAACCUUACCAGGUCUUGACAUCCUCUGACAACUCUAGAGAUAGAGCGUUCCCCUUCGGGGGACAGAGUGACAGGUGGUGCAUGGUUGUCGUCAGCUCGUGUCGUGAGAUGUUGGGUUAAGUCCCGCAACGAGCGCAACCCUUGAUCUUAGUUGCCAGCAUUUAGUUGGGCACUCUAAGGUGACUGCCGGUGACAAACCGGAGGAAGGUGGGGAUGACGUCAAAUCAUCAUGCCCCUUAUGACCUGGGCUACACACGUGCUACAAUGGAUGGUACAAAGAGCUGCGAACCCGCGAGGGUAAGCGAAUCUCAUAAAGCCAUUCUCAGUUCGGAUUGUAGG
This 529-nucleotide ribosomal RNA is filed under the name uncultured bacterium. Its description in RNAcentral is "bacterial SSU rRNA". It matches the Rfam family "Bacterial small subunit ribosomal RNA", at positions 777 to 1304 of the family's 1533-position model. The record is from RNAcentral.